AAAGCAGCAAUAAUUUUUUAUUUAAUUAAAAGCAUACCAUUGAGUCGGUCGGAAUCAGAUUUGAGAAUCCAGUACAUUUACAAUCAAAAACUGCUAGAUGCUCGAGGUCAAUACACGACUCUUCUCAAAUUAGUAAAUUAUUAGCCAAAUUUUUACUUAUUGCUUUCAAUUGCCGCGAUCUUGCCAAUGUUGCAUGACGGACAGAUGGAUCGGCCAAGCAAAUGCUGCUUACGGACGUAUAUUCCCGCAUGAUGGCAAGGCAGGCCUAAUCAAUUGUUUGGAGCGAAAUAUUUGCCGCUUGAAUGGAAAAAUAAUAUUUCGUUUAUUUUCAUUUUGUAAGAAGUUGAAACGGAGAAAUUAGAUUAGUUUGUAGUUUGUCUGCUUGAAUUCGCAGUAGAAUGAAAUUAUUAAGUUAAUACGCAAAGUAAUCUGACCAGAAGGUUACCAAACAAAAAUUUAGAAAGGCAAACUAUUAAAUUAAUUUUUUUAUCUUAGUUUCCGCAUAAAUUCUUUACUCAUGGAAAUAGAUAGAGUCUUCAAUUUGUGCAUAUAUGUACGUACAAAUCAAGUAAAACAAACGAAAGACAGGCUUUCAUUAACGCAGUUAUAGUAUGAAAAAAAAAAAAUUUAAUAUUUUCAUCGAAAAAGUACUCACUCAAAAUAUGCUUGAUUGAAGAGCUUUUUUUUCCGUAGUAAUUAUGAAGCAGGAAAAAUUGACUGAAUGCUUUGAAUAGAUUUUUCUCAAAGAAUUCAAUAAAAUAAGAUUUCAUUAAUGUCAUUAUUUGCCACUUACUAUAUACGGCUAUAGAAUGAUAAAUUGAUAGGGAUGUUAAAUUACUUAUUAUGUUGUAAACCAAGUUCAAUGCAUACGGAGGCCAAUAAAAUAUGUACCUAGACAUGUUUAUACAUACAUCCCGGCACUUAGAGUUGAUCGACUAUGCGUUCUAUGGAAUAGCUUUUCUUUUGAUACGCCAAAACGGAUUAAAUAACACAUAAUCAGGUCUACAAUGACGUAAUAAGGAUUGGCUGGUAAUUACGCGCUGAAAGCGGCAUAUAAUGACUGUUGACAUCUUUGAACAAAAUUGAGUCCUCAAGUUGAAGAGAGAGCGAGAAGCGAGUGGAUCCCAGCCAAAUCUCUGUUGUUUACAAACAAUGAAAAUUGCAUAUGUACAGACUCUACAGAUUCCAUAUGUACCUUGUAAUAAGACGUCAACACAGUCACAUUCCAGUUUAGGACUAACCAGACUAUUCCAAAGUUGUUUGCAAAUCUAUGGACCAUCACGUUUCUUUCAUGUUCCGCGGAAAUCCCGAAAUUGUGAAGAGAUCCCUAUCAAAUUAUUACCA
Long non-coding RNA from Glossina fuscipes, 1344 nucleotides. RefSeq lists it as uncharacterized. The record is from RefSeq and is a predicted model, not a curated record. The transcript is spliced from 4 exons. Lineage: Eukaryota; Metazoa; Arthropoda; Insecta; Diptera; Glossinidae.